This 402-nucleotide ribosomal RNA is filed under the name uncultured bacterium. RNAcentral's name for it is "bacterial SSU rRNA". It matches the Rfam family "Bacterial small subunit ribosomal RNA", at positions 355 to 774 of the family's 1533-position model. The record is from RNAcentral.
UGGGGAAUAUUGGACAAUGGGCGAAAGCCUGAUCCAGCCAUGCCGCGUGAGUGAUGAAGGCCCUAGGGUUGUAAAGCUCUUUCACCGGUGAAGAUAAUGACGGUAGCCGGAGAAGAAGCACCGGCUAACUUCGUGCCAGCAGCCGCGGUAAUACGAAGGGGGCUAGCGUUGUUCGGAAUUACUGGGCGUAAAGCGCACGUAGGCGGAUUGUUAAGUCGGGGGUGAAAUCCCGGGGCUCAACCCCGGAACUGCCUUCGAUCCUGGCAAUCUAGAGUCCGGAAGAGGUGAGUGGAAUUCCGAGUGUAGAGGUGAAAUUCGUAGAUAUUCGGAGGAACACCAGUGGCGAAGGCGGCUCACUGGCCCGAUACUGACGCUGAGGCACGAAAGCGUGGGGAGCAAACA